GUGGUACUCCCUCCGUCCGAAAAUACUUGCUAUCAAAAUGGAUAAAAAAGGAUGUAUGUAGAACUAAUAUACGUCUAGAUACAUAUACAUCCCCUUUUAUUCAUUUUGAUGACACAAGUAUUUCCGGACGGAGGGAGUAUUUG
This is a non-coding RNA of Triticum aestivum (bread wheat), 143 nucleotides long. The record is from Rfam. Lineage: Eukaryota; Viridiplantae; Streptophyta; Magnoliopsida; Poales; Poaceae.